CAAGCGUUGUUCGGAAUUACUGGGCGUAAAGGGCGCGUAGGCGGCCUGCUAAGUCGAACGUGAAAUCCCUGGGCUCAACCCAGGAACUGCGUCCGAUACUGGUUGGCUUGAAUCCGGGAGAGGGACGUGGAAUUCCAGGUGUAGCGGUGAAAUGCGUAGAUAUCUGGAGGAACACCGGUGGCGAAGGCGACGUCCUGGACCGGCAUUGACGCUGAGGCGCGAAAGCCAGGGGAGCAAACGGG
Molecule: ribosomal RNA, 242 nt
Filed under: uncultured bacterium
Lineage: Bacteria
Description: partial 16S ribosomal RNA
Rfam family: Bacterial small subunit ribosomal RNA
Source: RNAcentral